UGGGGAAUAUUGCACAAUGGGCGCAAGCCUGAUGCAGCCAUGCCGCGUGUAUGAAGAAGGCCUUCGGGUUGUAAAGUACUUUCAGCGAGGAGGAAGGCGUUGUGGUUAAUAACCGCAGCGAUUGACGUUACUCGCAGAAGAAGCACCGGCUAACUCCGUGCCAGCAGCCGCGGUAAUACGGAGGGUGCACGCGUUAAUCGGAAUUACUGGGCGUAAAGCGCACGCAGGCGGUCUGUCAAGUCGGAUGUGAAAUCCCCGGGCUCAACCUGGGAACUGCAUCCGAAACUGGCAGGCUAGAGUCUUGUAGAGGGGGGUAGAAUUCCAGGUGUAGCGGUGAAAUGCGUAGAGAUCUGGAGGAAUACCGGUGGCGAAGGCGGCCCCCUGGACAAAGACUGACGCUCAGGUGCGAAAGCGUGGGGAGCAAACA
RNAcentral lists this ribosomal RNA (427 nucleotides) under uncultured bacterium. Its description in RNAcentral is "partial 16S ribosomal RNA". It matches the Rfam family "Bacterial small subunit ribosomal RNA", at positions 355 to 774 of the family's 1533-position model. The record is from RNAcentral.